ACUCCUACGGGAGGCAGCAGUGAGGAAUAUUGGACAAUGACGCAAGUCUGAUCCAGCCAUGCCGCGUGCAGGAAGAAUGCCCUAUGGGUUGUAAACUGCUUUUAUUUGGGAAUAAACCCCUUCUCGUGAGGAGGGCUGAAGGUACCAAACGAAUAAGCACCGGCUAACUCCGUGCCAGCAGCCGCGGUAAUACGGAGGGGUGCAAGCGUUAUCCGGAAUCAUUGGGUUUAAAGGGUCCGCAGGCGGACGUAUAAGUCAGUGGUGAAAGCCUACAGCUUAACUGUAGAACUGCCAUUGAUACUGUAUGUCUUGAAUUCGGUCGGAGUGGGCGGAAUGUGUCAUGUAGCGGUGAAAUGCAUAGAUAUGACACAGAACACCGAUAGCGAAGGCAGCUCACUAGGCCUGAAUUGACGCUCAGGGACGAAAGCGUGGGGAGCGAACAGGAUUAGAUACCCUGGUAGACUGUCA
RNAcentral lists this ribosomal RNA (468 nucleotides) under uncultured bacterium. RNAcentral's name for it is "bacterial SSU rRNA". It matches the Rfam family "Bacterial small subunit ribosomal RNA", at positions 335 to 802 of the family's 1533-position model. The record is from RNAcentral.